Molecule: transfer RNA, 72 nt
Filed under: Hirsutella minnesotensis 3608
Lineage: Eukaryota; Fungi; Ascomycota; Sordariomycetes; Hypocreales; Ophiocordycipitaceae
Description: tRNA-Arg (ACG) (tRNA-Arg-ACG-1-1, tRNA-Arg-ACG-1-2)
Rfam family: tRNA
About the family: Transfer RNA (tRNA) molecules are approximately 80 nucleotides in length. Their secondary structure includes four short double-helical elements and three loops (D, anti-codon, and T loops). Further hydrogen bonds mediate the characteristic L-shaped molecular structure. tRNAs have two regions of fundamental functional importance: the anti-codon, which is responsible for specific mRNA codon recognition, and the 3' end, to which the tRNAs corresponding amino acid is attached (by aminoacyl-tRNA synthetases). tRNAs cope with the degeneracy of the genetic code in two manners: having more than one tRNA (with a specific anti-codon) for a particular amino acid; and 'wobble' base-pairing, i.e. permitting non-standard base-pairing at the 3rd anti-codon position.
Source: RNAcentral
GGCCGUGUGGCGUAAUGGCAGCGCAUCUGACUACGAAUCAGGAGGUUGCAGGUUCGACCCCUGUCUCGGUCA